Molecule: small RNA, 121 nt
Filed under: Marmota monax (woodchuck)
Lineage: Eukaryota; Metazoa; Chordata; Mammalia; Rodentia; Sciuridae
Source: RNAcentral
GCCAGGUGAGGUGGCGCAUGCCUGUAAUCCUAGUGACUUGGGAGGCUGAGACAGGAGGAUUGAGAAUUGAAACCCAGUAAUUUAGUGAGGCCCUAAGCAACUCAGUGAGACCCUGUCUCUA